UGACAAGAAAUGUUUUCUCUCUUUAAUUCAUUAUUUAGACAACCCUAUUACAUAUGGCUUUGACUCUUUUUGUAGUGUCCAUUCAAUGUGUUACACACUCAAGAAGGACAGGGAAAUAUUUUUUUAGUAAGCAGGACAUUUCCUUUUUGGUUUUAGAGCGCUUUUUAAAAAAAAUUAAAAUCAGAUUUGUGGUAUUGAUAUCCCAGGAUAAUGGCCAUGAGUUUAAUUGGCAUAUAUUUCUUCUCAAAUCUUGACUGUCCUGAUCCAUGCUUCUGCUGACUGAAGCCUUCAGCUGAAGUUUCUGAAAAACUAUUUAGGCUUCACUUGGUCAGUUGCCCUUUAGAGCUUUGCUUUGUGGAUUCUUCUUGGUAACUGCUUCUUGUUCUUUCCAUGCCUAGUAUUUCUGGCAUCAGGUCAAACAAUGGAGACCACUGUUUGUUUGUUUUUGGUUUAAUGUGUGUGUGUGUGUGCAAUCUUAAUUGUUUCUUCCUGCAGUCUCCUUUUCACUUCUUCAACCUAAAGGC
This 524-nucleotide long non-coding RNA is filed under the name Bos taurus (domestic cattle). Its description in RNAcentral is "long non-coding RNA NONBTAT017445". The record is from RNAcentral. Lineage: Eukaryota; Metazoa; Chordata; Mammalia; Artiodactyla; Bovidae.